Molecule: long non-coding RNA, 916 nt
Organism: Bos taurus (domestic cattle)
Lineage: Eukaryota; Metazoa; Chordata; Mammalia; Artiodactyla; Bovidae
Source: Ensembl
UUGGAGUUUCAGCUUCAACAUCAGUCCUUCCAAUGAACACCCAGGACUGAUCUCCUUUAGGAUGGACUGGGGAUCUUGCAAUCCAAGGGACUCUCAAGAGUCUUCUCCAACCACAGUGGUCAUGGCUGAUUGGUGGAUGGAGGAGUCCAAGAUCAACCGAGAGAAAAGGAAGGCCAAAAAGGAACUGAUUGGGAAAAACAAGAGUGACUGAGGGACUCAGAGUCUUGAGCAAAAGGGCAAAUUCAAAAGGAGAUGGAGAAAAAAAAUGGGAUCAGAAAUGACUGCAUGGGCAUUUGAACCUGGGAGAUGCCUGAAGGGUGACCUGGAGUCCUAGGCCCCUUAUGGUGACCUCACUGCACAUGAACAAGGAUGAGGGCCGAGGUACAAUGAGUCCUGGUACAAUGACUCCUGGCAGACAUUAUGGCUCACAAGCCCCACGUGCAGUGGAGCACUGAGUCCCAGCUCACCUGUCUACAGGCACCCAGACAAAUGCUUUGUCUCCUGCAUCGCAGGUGGAUUCUUUACCCACUGAGCCACCAGGGAAGCCCCUGAACCUCCAUACAUUCAUUUAAAAAUAGUAGUAGCUGUAUAGCACAGGAAACUCUAGUCAAUGCUCUGUGGUGACCUAAAUGGGAAGGCAAUCCAAAAAAGAGGGAUAUAUGUUUAUGUAUAGCUGAUUCACUUUGCUGUGCAGUAGAAACUCUGGAGGAGGGCAUGGCAACCCACUUCAGUAUUCUUGCUUGGAAAAUCCCAUGGACAGGAAAGCCUGGCAAGCUAUCGUCCUUGGGGUUGCAAAAGAGCCAGACACGACUGACUGUACGCACAGGAGAAACUGACUCAACACUGUAGAGAAACUAUACUCCAACAAAAUUUUAAAAAAUAAAUAAAAAAUAAAAAUGGUAGUAGUAGUUAUUCC